CCGAUCGAGGAUGAGCCCGCGGCGGAUUAGCUUGUUGGUGGGGUAAUGGCCUACCAAGGCGACGAUCCGUAGCUGGUCUGAGAGGACGAUCAGCCACACUGGGACUGAGACACGGCCCAG
This 120-nucleotide ribosomal RNA is filed under the name uncultured bacterium. RNAcentral describes it as "partial 16S ribosomal RNA". It matches the Rfam family "Bacterial small subunit ribosomal RNA", at positions 215 to 334 of the family's 1533-position model. The record is from RNAcentral.